Jaculus jaculus (lesser Egyptian jerboa) is the source of this 1325-nucleotide long non-coding RNA. RefSeq lists it as uncharacterized. The transcript is spliced from 4 exons. NCBI's taxonomy places the organism in Eukaryota, Metazoa, Chordata, Mammalia, Rodentia, Dipodidae. The record is from RefSeq and is a predicted model, not a curated record.
GCGGGCGGGCGGGCGGCCCCGGCAGCACGAGCAGCGGGAGGCACCCACCGAGGGGGACGCCAAGAGUGAGGGGCGAAAAGUGUGAAAAGAAGCAACAGCCGCUCCCCCCUCGCGAGCAAAAAAAGAGAGAGAGCGAGAGAGAGAGGAAAAGAAAAGAAAAGUGGCCGUCCUGCCUGCCUGCCGGCUGCCUGCGCCCGGGGAUGCGGCGGCGGCGGCGGCGGCGGCUAACGGUCCAGGGAGGCGGCGGGGCGGCAGGAGCCGCUAGGCGGAGAGACCAGCGGCGCUCGCUCUACGGCCGGAACCUUGUUGCUAGGGACGGGACGGUUUGCGGCAGCUCGGGACGCUGACGGAGUUUGAAUUGGGAAGCGAGGGAAAAGUUUUGCUCAGAGAAAGAGGGAGAGAAUGGACGUUCCAGGGCCUCCAGCCACUGCAAAGGAACUUCAGACAUGUGUGCCUCCUUGUGCAUCUGGCUAACGUGGGUCCUGGGGAAUCGAACCUGGGUCCUUUGGCUUUGCAGGCGAAUGCCUUAACCACUAAGCCAUCCCUUCAGCCCUUUGCUUUGGUUUUACAACAAUUUUGCUGUUUUAAGAGACCAAUUUGAACUGGCUAAAGCAAGAAGAUAGUACUCUGUAAAGAUAAGCUGUGGUUUUGUUUCUUAAUAGAAGGCCGAAGUAAGAACGAAGCCCAGUCUUCAGGGGAAGAAUCAGGCACCUCUGAGCAUAGAGGUGAUGUCUCUCAGCAUUUCCAUGGCCUGCUGCUGUGCAUGGAGGUAGGAUGGCCUCAGACACGCUGGGAGAACAUACUUCCAUAGACAUCCACCAUAGCAUCAUUCUUCAGGGCUCAGAGAAUCAAGCUUUCCUAGCACUGAUUAUGUUAUGCAUUGAAAGUUGUAUUAUGCAAUCAUCUUCCUAUGAACAGCUUAUAUAGUUAUAGUAAUAUCUAAUUUUGCCAUACAUAUAUGUAAUUAUGUGUAACUAAGUAUUCAGCUACUGUCACUUAACACAUCACAUUUUCUAAGCAUGUUGCCCUUUCUUACUGGACUGUAAUGUUCCUAUACUUGAUAAAUGUAAUUUACUGAACCAGUUUUAUAUUUUGCAGGUUUGAAUGACUUGUAUUUUCUUUUGUAAAGAAUGAAUACUGUUACCCUAUAAUUUUUGUUUUGAUUUGGCUUGUAGUCAUUUUAUGGGAGAUUUUCCCUCAAAACUGGAAUUGGCUAGUAACUGGAAUAAACGUGGCUCUUUCUUUUUAAAGGUAUUGUCAGAGUACUUUUGAAAAAACUUGUACUAAUAAGUGAAAUCACCAGAAAUAAAUGAGUUUUUUUUUAA